RNAcentral lists this ribosomal RNA (2515 nucleotides) under Antennarius striatus (striated frogfish). Its description in RNAcentral is "eukaryotic LSU rRNA". It matches the Rfam family "Eukaryotic large subunit ribosomal RNA", at positions 743 to 3401 of the family's 3401-position model. Lineage: Eukaryota; Metazoa; Chordata; Actinopteri; Lophiiformes; Antennariidae. The record is from RNAcentral.
CCCACCCCCAUCCCCGGACGCACCAACAGCCCAUCUCGCCUUCUCCGUCAGGGAGGUGGAACGUGAGCGCACGCGAUAGGACCUGAAAGAUGGUGAACUAUGCCUGGGCAGGGCAACGUCAGAGGUCCUGACAUGCAAAUCAGUCGUCCGACCUGGGUAUAGGGUCUAUAUACUAAUACUAAUCAAACCAUCUAGUAGCUGGUUGCCUCCGAAGUUUCCCUCAGGAUAACUGGUGCUCAGAGUCUCGAAGUUUUAUCUGGUAAAGUGAAUGAUUAGAGGUCUUAGGGCCAAAAUGAUCUCAACCUAUUCUGAAACUUUAAAUGGGUAAAACGCCCGGCUUGCUGUCUUGGAGCCGGGUGUGGAAUGUGAGUCGCCUGGUGGGCCACAGAACUGGCGCUGCAGAAUGAACCGAACGCCAGGUCAAGGCGCCCGAUGCUGAUCUUCAACAGACCCCAGAAAAGGUGUUGGUUGAUAUAGACAGCUGGACGGCAGCCACAGAAGUCGGAACCCGCUAAGGAGUUUGUAACAACAAAUCAACUAGCCCUGAAAAUGGAUGGCGCUGGAACGUUGGGCCUAUACCCGGCCGUUGUUGGAAACGGUAGCCACAAGGGCUAUGCCGCGACAAGUAGGAGGGCCGCUGCGAUGCGCACAGAAGUCUAGGGCAUGGGCCUGCGUGGAGCCGCCACAGAUCUUGGUGGUAGUAGCAAACAAGACCUUGAAAGGCCAAAGUGGAGAAAUGUUCCAUGUGAACAGCAGUUGAACAUGGGUCAGUCGGUCUUAAGAGAUGAGUGAAUGCCAUUCGGAAGGGCGGGCCGAUGGCCUAUGUCAAACCCGGCCGAUCAGAAAAGAGUCGGGUUCAGAUCCCCGAAUCUGGAGAGGCGGACACCGGCGACGCGAGGCGUCCAGUGCGGUAACGCAAGCAAUCCCAGAGAAGCUGUCGAGAGCCAUGGGGAGAGUUCACUUUUUUUGUGAAGUGCAGGGCAUCCUGGAAUGGGUCAGUGACUCUGGACGCGCGCCGAGCCCUUCUCGCAGAUCUACCCAGUUAUGGCACCCGCCGGAAGGAGCCCCGUUGGCGAGGGCCUGCAUCAUUGGCGGGCCGAAGGCCCACGAGGGGUGUUGAAAUGAUGUGAUUUCUUCCCAGUGCUGGGAAUGUCAAAGUGAAGAAAUUCAAUGCAGCACGGGUAAACGGCGGCAGUAAGUAUAACUCUCUUCCAUCCAUCCAUUCAUCAUCUCCCACUUAUCCAGGGCCGGGUCGCGGGGGCAACAGUUUCAGCAAGGAUGCCCAUACUUCCUUCUCCCCAGACACCUCCUUCAGCUCCUCUGGGGGGAGCCCGAGGCGUUCCCAUAUGACUCUCUUAAGGUAGCCAAAUGCCUCAUCAUCUAAUUAUUGAUGCGCAUGAAAGGAUGAACGAGAUUCCCACUGCCCCUACCUACUAUCUAGGAAAACAACAGCAAAGGGAAUGGGCGUAGUAGAAUCAGCGGGGAAAGAAGCCCAUUGAGCUUGACUCUAAUCUGACACAUUGAAGAGACGUGAGAGGUGUAGAAUAAGUGGUAGGCCUCAGCCACUGGUGAAAUACCACAAAUCUUAUCAUUUUUUAGCCAGGGAGGCGAGGCCCGAGCGGGCUCUCGCUUCUGGCCUCAUGCGUCUGGCCCCUCAAAGGUAAGGUGCGACCUGCUCCAGGGCCAGUGGCAGGUGGGGAGUUUGACUGGGGCGGUACACCUGUCAAAUAGUAACGCAGGUGUCCUAAAGUGACCUCAGGGAUGACAGAAACCUGCCAUUGAGCAGAAGGGUAAAAGCUAGCUUGAUCUUGAUUUUCAGUAUGAAUACAGACCUUGAAAGUGGGGCCUCACGAUCUGUCUGACUUCUUGGUUUUUAAGCAGGUGUCAGAAAAGUUAUCACAGGGAUAACUGGCUUGUGGCAGCCAAGUGUUCAUAGCAACGUCGCUUUUUGAUCCUUCAAUGUCGGCUCUUCCUAUCAUUGUGAAGCAGAAUUUACCAAGUGUUGGAUUGUUCACCCACUAAAAGGGAACGUGAGCUGGGUUUAGACCAUCGCGAGACAGGGUUAGUUUUACCCAACUGAUGAUGUGUUGUUGCAAUAGUAACCCUGCUCAGUACGAGAGGAACCUCAGGUUUAGACAUUUGGUGUAGGUGCUUGGCUGAGGAGCCAAUGGUGCGGAGCUACCAUCUGUGUGAUUAUGACUGAAAACCUCAAGCCCACCUAGAAUCCCACCUAGACGUAAUGAUCCCAUAACACUGUGGAACUUCGAAUGGCACUGGAUAGCCAGCAGGCUCCGGCCCGCCGGCGAGCAAAGCCGUUUGUGACAGGCCUGAGGUGCAGCCGGACAUUGGCCGCCUCUCUCCUUACUCGCACCGUACGUUUGCGGAGAACCUGGAGCUAAAUCACUCCAGAUGUCCAGAUUCUGGGUCACGGUUUUGUAUGUAGCAGAGUAGCUCCCUCGUUGCGAUCUAUUGAAAGUCAGCCCUUGAACCAAGCUUUUGUCAGCAAGCGCAGGCC